This 850-nucleotide ribosomal RNA is filed under the name Klebsiella pneumoniae. RNAcentral's name for it is "bacterial SSU rRNA". It matches the Rfam family "Bacterial small subunit ribosomal RNA", at positions 34 to 875 of the family's 1533-position model. The record is from RNAcentral. Lineage: Bacteria; Pseudomonadati; Pseudomonadota; Gammaproteobacteria; Enterobacterales; Enterobacteriaceae.
CGCUGGCGGCAGGCCUAACACAUGCAAGUCGAGCGGUAGCACAGAGAGCUUGCUCUCGGGUGACGAGCGGCGGACGGGUGAGUAAUGUCUGGGAAACUGCCUGAUGGAGGGGGAUAACUACUGGAAACGGUAGCUAAUACCGCAUAACGUCGCAAGACCAAAGUGGGGGACCUUCGGGCCUCAUGCCAUCAGAUGUGCCCAGAUGGGAUUAGCUAGUAGGUGGGGUAACGGCUCACCUAGGCGACGAUCCCUAGCUGGUCUGAGAGGAUGACCAGCCACACUGGAACUGAGACACGGUCCAGACUCCUACGGGAGGCAGCAGUGGGGAAUAUUGCACAAUGGGCGCAAGCCUGAUGCAGCCAUGCCGCGUGUGUGAAGAAGGCCUUCGGGUUGUAAAGCACUUUCAGCGGGGAGGAAGGCGGUGAGGUUAAUAACCUCGUCGAUUGACGUUACCCGCAGAAGAAGCACCGGCUAACUCCGUGCCAGCAGCCGCGGUAAUACGGAGGGUGCAAGCGUUAAUCGGAAUUACUGGGCGUAAAGCGCACGCAGGCGGUCUGUCAAGUCGGAUGUGAAAUCCCCGGGCUCAACCUGGGAACUGCAUUCGAAACUGGCAGGCUAGAGUCUUGUAGAGGGGGGUAGAAUUCCAGGUGUAGCGGUGAAAUGCGUAGAGAUCUGGAGGAAUACCGGUGGCGAAGGCGGCCCCCUGGACAAAGACUGACGCUCAGGUGCGAAAGCGUGGGGAGCAAACAGGAUUAGAUACCCUGGUAGUCCACGCCGUAAACGAUGUCGAUUUGGAGGUUGUGCCCUUGAGGCGUGGCUUCCGGAGCUAACGCGUUAAAUCGACCGCCUG